CCCUUAGAUGUUCUGGGCCGCACGCGCGCUACACUGACUACUUCAACGAGUUGUUUCCUUGAUCGAAAGGUCUGGGUAAUCUUUGAAAGGUAGUCGUGAUGGGGAUAGAUCCUUGCAAUUUUUGAUCUUCAACGAGGAAUUCCUAGUAAACGCAAGUCAUCAGCUUGCAUUGAUUACGUCCCUGCCCUUUGUACACACCGCCCGUCGCACCUACCGAUUGAAUGGUCCGGUGAAUCUUUAGGACUGUGGCUGAGGCCUUGCCUUGUGCGGGUCUGGCCGUGGGAAUUUAGUUAAACCUUACCAUUUAGAGGAAGGUGGAGUCGUAACA
RNAcentral lists this ribosomal RNA (328 nucleotides) under uncultured eukaryote. RNAcentral's name for it is "partial 18S ribosomal RNA". It matches the Rfam family "Eukaryotic small subunit ribosomal RNA", at positions 1470 to 1796 of the family's 1831-position model. The record is from RNAcentral.